CUCAUGGUUUCACGGUAUUGCAAUGAGAACAAUUUAAAACCCUUAGCGAGAAUCAAGUGGAGGACAAGUCUGGUGCCAGCACCCGCGGUAAUUCCAGCUCCACUAGCGUAUAUUAAAGUUGUUGCAGUUAAAAAGCUCGUAGUUGAACCUCUGUCUGGGGCUAGUUUUGGCUUUGGUCAGGCUAGUUCUAGGCAUCCGCCUACAAGACUUAGAGGGCAUUCAGUUGUUCACUAGGAGGAGUAGGCAUUUUACUUUGAAAAAAUUAGAGUGUUUAAGGCAGGCAAUCGCCCGCAUAUAUUAGCAUGGAAUAAUAGAAUAGGACACUUUUCCAUUUCGUUGGUUAUUGGAAUCGUGUAAUGAUUAAUAGGGACAGUUGUGGGCAUUUGUAUUUAAUUGUCAGAGGUGAAAUUCUUGGAUUUAUUAAAGACAAACUAACGCGAAAGCAUUUGCCAAGGAUGUUUUCAUUAAUCAAGAACGAAAGUUAGGGGAUCAAAGACGAUCAGAUACCGUCCUAGUCUUAACUAUAAACUAUUCCGACUCAAUGUUUGACUGGCUUAUAUAACCAGUUGAGCGUUGUAUGAGAAAUCAAAGUCUUUAGGUUCUGGGGGGAGUAUGGUUGCAAAGCUGAAACUUAAAGGAAUUGACGGAAGAGCACAACCAGGAGUGGAUUCUGCGGCUUAAUUUGACUCAACACGGGGAAACUUACCAGGUUAGAACAAUAGUGGGAUUGACAGUUUGAGAGCGCUUUCUUGAUUGGUUGGGUGGUGGUGCAUGGCCGUUCUUAGUUGGUGGAGUGAUUUGUCUGCUUAAUUGCGUUAACGAACGAGACCUUAACCUGCUUACUAGACUGGCGAUCAUCAAUCGUUAGCUCUUCUUAGAGGGACUUUGGUUGUUUUAACUCCAAGGAAGUUUGAGGCAAUAACAGGUCUGUGAUGCCCUUAGAUAUCCUGGGCCGCACGCGUCAUACAAUGACUAGUUCAGAAAGUUUUCUCCUGACCCGAAAGGGGAUGGGUAAUCUUGAUAAUACUAGUCGUGUUAGGGAUCGAUCUUUGCAAUUAUAGAUCUUGAACGAGGAAUUCCUAGUAAGUGCGGUUCAUCAGACCGUACUGAUUACGUCCCUGCUCUUUGUACACACCGCCCGUCGCUUCUACCGAGUGGGUGGUCCGGUGAGAUAAUUGAACUUCGCAGGUAACUGAGAGGAAAGAUUAUCAAACCUAUCCACCU
This 1224-nucleotide ribosomal RNA is filed under the name metagenome. RNAcentral's name for it is "SSU rRNA". It matches the Rfam family "Eukaryotic small subunit ribosomal RNA", at positions 493 to 1774 of the family's 1831-position model. The record is from RNAcentral.